Molecule: ribosomal RNA, 885 nt
Filed under: uncultured bacterium
Lineage: Bacteria
Description: bacterial SSU rRNA
Rfam family: Bacterial small subunit ribosomal RNA
Source: RNAcentral
AGAGUUUGAUCAUGGCUCAGAAUGAACGUUGGCGGCGUGGAUUAGGCAUGCAAGUCGAGCGAGUCUACUUGAUAGCAAUAUUAGGUAAGUCGAGCGGCGUAAGGGGCAGUAAUACCUGGGAACGUACCCUGAGGUCGGGGAUAGCUGCUAGAAAUGGCGAGUAAUACCCGAUGAUCUCGAGAGAGCAAAGGCUUGCCGCCUUCGGAGCGGCCCAGGCGAUAUUAGCUAGUUGGUGGGGUAAUGGCCUACCAAGGCAUAGAUGUCUAGCGGGUGUGAGAGCACGACCCGCGCCACUGGCACUGAGACACUGGCCAGACACCUACGGGUGGCUGCAGCCGAGAAUCUUCGGCAAUGAGCGCAAGCUUGACCGAGCGACGCCGCGUGCGGGAUGAAGGCCUUCGGGUUGUAAACCGCUUUGGUCCGAAAGAAAGGGCAACUUGAUCGAUCGGAGAAACAAGGACGGGCUAAGUUCGUGCCAGCAGCCGCGGUAAGACGAACCGUCCAAACGUUAUUCGGAAUUACUGGGCUUAAAGGGCGCGUAGGCGGCCGAGCGGGUCACGGGUGAAAUCCUCCAGCUUAACUGGAGAACUGCCCUUGAUACCACUGCGGCUCGAGGAAGGAAGGGGCAAUCGGAACUGUCGGUGGAGCGGUGAAAUGCGUUGAUAUCGACAGGAACGCCGGUGGCGAAAGCGGAUUGCUGGUCCUUUUCUGACGCUGAGGCGCGAAAGCCAGGGGAGCAAACGGGAUUAGAUACCCCGGUAGUCCUGGCCUUAAACGAUGAGAACUAGGUAGUGGGUCCGACCUGGGCACACUGCCGAAGCGAAAGUUUUAAGUUCUCCGCCUGGGGAGUAUGGUCGCAAGGCUGAAACUCAAAUGAAUUGACGG